RNAcentral lists this ribosomal RNA (532 nucleotides) under uncultured Bacteroidales bacterium. RNAcentral's name for it is "bacterial SSU rRNA". It matches the Rfam family "Bacterial small subunit ribosomal RNA", at positions 1 to 528 of the family's 1533-position model. The record is from RNAcentral. Lineage: Bacteria; Pseudomonadati; Bacteroidota; Bacteroidia; Bacteroidales.
UAGAGUUUGAUCCUGGCUCAGGAUGAACGCUAGCUACAGGCUUAACACAUGCAAGUCGCAGGGUAACAUGAGGAAAGCUUGCUUUCCUUGAUGACGACUGGCGCACGGGUGAGUAACGCGUAUCCAACCUUCCCAUAACUACGGGAUAACCCGUUGAAAGACGGCCUAAUACCGUAUGAUAUCGUUUGCUGACAUCAAAUAACGAUUAAAGGUUUAGCGGUUAUGGAUGGGGAUGCGUCUGAUUAGCUUGUUGGCGGGGUAACGGCCCACCAAGGCGACGAUCAGUAGGGGUUCUGAGAGGAAGGUCCCCCACAUUGGAACUGAGACACGGUCCAAACUCCUACGGGAGGCAGCAGUGAGGAAUAUUGGUCAAUGGGCGAGAGCCUGAACCAGCCAAGUAGCGUGCAGGACGACGGCCCUAUGGGUUGUAAACUGCUUUUAUAUGGGGAUAAAGUGGGGAACGUGUUCCCUUUUGCAGGUACCAUAUGAAUAAGGACCGGCUAAUUCCGUGCCAGCAGCCGCGGUAAAAGGG